GCUUAACCGGAGAAGUGCAUCGGAAACUGGGAGACUUGAGUGCAGAAGAGGACAGUGGAACUCCAUGUGUAGCGGUGGAAUGCGUAGAUAUAUGGAAGAACACCAGUGGCGAAGGCGGCUGUCUAGUCUGUAACUGACGCUGAGGCUCGAAAGCAUGGGUAGCGAACAGGAUUAGGUACCCUGGUAGUCCAUGCCGUAAACGAUGAGUGCUAAGUGUUGGAGGGUUUCCGCCCUUCAGUGCUGCAGCUAACGCAUUAAGCACUCCGCCUGGGGAGUACGACCGCAAGGUUGAAACUCAAAGGAAUUGACGGGGGCCCGCACAAGCGGUGGAGCAUGUGGUUUAAUUCGAAGCUACGCGGAGAACCUUACCAGGUCUUGACAUCUUCUGCCAAUCUUAGAGAUAAGACGUUCCCUUCGGGGACAGAAUGACAGGUGGUGCAUGGUUGUCGUCAGCUCGUGUCGUGAGAUGUUGGGUUAAGUCCCGCAACGAGCGCAACCCUUAUUAUCAGUUGCCAGCAUUCAGUUGGGCACUCUGGUGAGACUGCCGGUGACAAACCGGAGGAAGGUGGGGAUGACGUCAAAUCAUCAUGCCCCUUAUGACCUGGGCUACACACGUGCUACAAUGGACGGUACAACG
Molecule: ribosomal RNA, 637 nt
Filed under: uncultured bacterium
Lineage: Bacteria
Description: bacterial SSU rRNA
Rfam family: Bacterial small subunit ribosomal RNA
Source: RNAcentral